Molecule: long non-coding RNA, 412 nt
Organism: Oreochromis aureus
Lineage: Eukaryota; Metazoa; Chordata; Actinopteri; Cichliformes; Cichlidae
Source: Ensembl
GUUUUGAAAUAACUUGCAGAUUCUGGGAAAGUGACAGUGAAGUUUUUUUUUGUUUGUUUUUGUUGCUCAAAAUGAUUGAAAAAGCAAUCUCUGAUUCCAAAACAACAAAUGUGAUGAAUAAUGACCCUGGAAUAUAUGAGUGUUGGGUCUACAUGAAUGAAACAUGCUCAUGGAAGCUCAUCAACAGCACCAACCUGAGUGAUGUUGAUCCUCUAGGUCAGACAGGAGGACACACAGAGGAUGAAGGGAAGGACCCUAAAUCUGUUGGACUGAUCAUCGGUCUAACAGUUUUUCUGCUUCUUGUUGCUGUUGGUGGGUUUUGGAUCUGCAAAUGUAGACAACAGAGAGGGGAAAGAAACCAGCCUGCUGUUCAGUUGUAGUAGGUUUUUACAAAUAAAUAACUGAAAAGUGG